Molecule: ribosomal RNA, 497 nt
Filed under: uncultured bacterium
Lineage: Bacteria
Description: partial 16S ribosomal RNA
Rfam family: Bacterial small subunit ribosomal RNA
Source: RNAcentral
GACGAACGCUGGCGGCGUGCCUAAUACAUGCAAGUUGAGCGAUGAAGCUUGGUGCUUGCACCAAUUUGAAGAGCAGCGAACGGGUGAGUAACGCGUGGGGAAUCUGCCUUUGAGCGGGGGACAACAUUUGGAAACGAAUGCUAAUACCGCAUAACAACUUUAAACAUAAGUUUUAAGUUUGAAAGAUGCAAUUGCAUCACUCAAAGAUGAUCCCGCGUUGUAUUAGCUAGUUGGUGAGGUAAAGGCUCACCAAGGCGAUGAUACAUAGCCGACCUGAGAGGGUGAUCGGCCACAUUGGGACUGAGACACGGCCCAAACUCCUACGGGAGGCAGCAGUAGGGAAUCUUCGGCAAUGGACGAAAGUCUGACCGAGCAACGCCGCGUGAGUGAAGAAGGUUUUCGGAUCGUAAAACUCUGUUGGUAGGGAAGAACGUUGGUGAGAGUGGAAAGCUCAUCAAGUGACGGUAACUACCCAUAAAGGGACGGCUAACUACGUG